UACGGGGGGAGCAAGCGUUGUUCGGAUUUACUGGGCGUAAAGGGCGCGUAGGCGGUCGUGACAAGUCACUUGUGAAAUCUCCGGGCUUAACUCGGAACGGUCAAGUGAUACUGUCGGACUAGAGUACAGAAGGGGCAACUGGAAUUCUCGGUGUAGCGGUGAAAUGCGUAGAUAUCGGGAGGAACGACCAGUGGCGAAGGCGGGCACCUGGGCUAACACUGACGCUGAUGCGCGAAAGCUAGGG
RNAcentral lists this ribosomal RNA (244 nucleotides) under uncultured bacterium. Its description in RNAcentral is "partial 16S ribosomal RNA". It matches the Rfam family "Bacterial small subunit ribosomal RNA", at positions 524 to 765 of the family's 1533-position model. The record is from RNAcentral.